This is a small nuclear RNA of Perognathus longimembris pacificus (Pacific pocket mouse), 106 nucleotides long. The record is from RefSeq and is a predicted model, not a curated record. NCBI's taxonomy places the organism in Eukaryota, Metazoa, Chordata, Mammalia, Rodentia, Heteromyidae.
GUGCUCACCUCGGCAGCACGUAGACUAAAAUUGGAACAAUACAGAGAAGAUUAGCACGGCUCCUGCACAAGAAGAAAAAAGAAACGCAGAUCUAGGCACUGGUGUC